AGCCGAGCAUGCUGGAGUGAAAGCCCCCGGGGCCUGGCACCCCCCAAAAACGACCUCCCACCUCAAUCCCUGCCCCCAUUGCCCACGGCCCCCACGGGCUACCCCUCUUCCUCUUCCUUCACUCACCCCACCUCGUUACCUACGUGGCCGACCCAAAUUCAAAACAUUUUGUGUAUAUAUAAAUUUUUUUCUUUUCUACUACGUCUUUUUUUGGGGGGAUCCUCUCUAGAUCCCCAUAAGCGGACCUGCCAUACGGAGGAGGCAUUUGGGGACUCAGGAAGAAAUUAGCGCAGCUCCAUACCUGUACGGACUGCAUAGCUUUUAAACUCCUGGACUCAAAGAUAAGGAUCCACAUACACACAGGUACAGGAAAUACAGCCAGACCAAAGCCUUUUCAGACCCGAGCUGACCGGAAGACGUUGCCUUUCAUUCAUUCACUCUGCCCGCGUCUGUGGAGUCCUUUACUAGGCGACAAGCCCUGGAAGAGAAGUUGGACAUUUUUUAAAGGUCCCUGCGCUCGCCAAGCGGAGGAAAUAGAUGCUCAGGAGUGAACUACCGAGAGAAUCGGAUCGGGCGCCUCCUAACGCAGCUGGCAAACAUGCGAAGGUGGAACCCUUCACAGAUAUGCAUGUCAUCCUUGUGUAGUGGCCAUGCCAACCUUUGUAUUGUUCCAACUUUAGUAGACUGAGGCUCCAGACGCGCAGGCUCAGUGCAUGGCUUACGGGCCCAGCCGCCCCACG
Molecule: long non-coding RNA, 740 nt
Organism: Delphinapterus leucas (beluga whale)
Lineage: Eukaryota; Metazoa; Chordata; Mammalia; Artiodactyla; Monodontidae
Source: RefSeq, a predicted model, not a curated record